Molecule: ribosomal RNA, 262 nt
Filed under: uncultured bacterium
Lineage: Bacteria
Description: partial 16S ribosomal RNA
Rfam family: Bacterial small subunit ribosomal RNA
Source: RNAcentral
GUCCACGCCGUAAACGAUGAGAACUAGACGUCGGAGGGGUCUGCUCUUCGGUGUCGCAGCUAACGCGAUAAGUUCUCCGCCUGGGGAGUACGGCCGCAAGGUUGAAACUCAAAGGAAUUGACGGGGGCCCGCACAAGCUGUGGAGCAUGUGGUUUAAUUCGAUGCAACGCGAAGAACCUUACCUGGUCUUGACAUCCUCGGAACCUCGCAGAGAUGUGGGGGUCCUUCGGGAACCGAGAGACAGGUGCUGCAUGGCUGUCGU